AAUGAACGCUGGCGGCAUGCCUAACACAUGCAAGUCGAACGAAGGCUUCGGCCUUAGUGGCGCACGGGUGCGUAACGCGUGGGAAUCUGCCCUCAGGUUCGGAAUAACAGCGAGAAAUUGCUGCUAAUACCGGAUGAUAUCGCGAGAUCAAAGAUUUAUCGCCUGAGGAUGAGCCCGCGUAGGAUUAGCUAGUUGGUGUGGUAAAGGCGCACCAAGGCGACGAUCCUUAGCUGGUCUGAGAGGAUGAUCAGCCACACUGGGACUGAGACACGGCCCAGGCUCCUACGGGAGGCAGCAGUGGGGAAUAUUGGACAAUGGGCGAAAGCCUGAUCCAGCAAUGCCGCGUGAGUGAUGAAGGCCUUAGGGUUGUAAAGCUCUUUUACCCGGGAUGAUAAUGACAGUACCGGGAGAAUAAGCUCCGGCUAACUCCGUGCCAGCAGCCGCAGUAA
RNAcentral lists this ribosomal RNA (449 nucleotides) under uncultured bacterium. RNAcentral describes it as "partial 16S ribosomal RNA". It matches the Rfam family "Bacterial small subunit ribosomal RNA", at positions 29 to 523 of the family's 1533-position model. The record is from RNAcentral.